AUUUGUACCUGCUAUGAUUUCACCAUCUCAAGAUUCAGAAUGGAAUGGGUACCAGGCUCCCAUUUAUCCAUCAGAAAUCAGCGUGCUUCCACCUCCAACAUACGUCGUGAACAAUAUAGCAUCGGAGACGGAUCUCUAUUCUUCUCAUCAGCAGGUGGACGAAUAUCCAGAACGACCUGGUCAACCCGAAUGCAGUUACUUUCUAAAGACGGGAGAUUGUAAAUUUAAAUCUCUUUGCAA
This 240-nucleotide unclassified non-coding RNA is filed under the name Hevea brasiliensis (rubber tree). Lineage: Eukaryota; Viridiplantae; Streptophyta; Magnoliopsida; Malpighiales; Euphorbiaceae. The record is from RNAcentral.